Molecule: long non-coding RNA, 906 nt
Organism: Enhydra lutris kenyoni (northern sea otter)
Lineage: Eukaryota; Metazoa; Chordata; Mammalia; Carnivora; Mustelidae
Exons: 3
Source: RefSeq, a predicted model, not a curated record
UCAGAUCGGGCGAGGGGAGCUGAGCCCCGGGAACGCGCUGGCUGCGGGCCUCAGGGUUCAAGCGCUCGCCCCGCGGCUCAGUGAAGCUUUCGUUCAGCUGCAAGUAACGUGGCAGUGGUGGCCAGGGUCUUCACUCUGCUUAAGUCCUCCAGGCGCCUUCUAAGAAGCAGUUAAAGAAGGCUGCACAGUACCUGGAAACCUUCCAGUUUCACUUGUAGAAUUCAGCCUCACUCAUAGUUCCCUUGGUACCUGUUGGCCGUCUGUAUGCCUUAUUUUUUGAAAAAUGUCUCUUCAGAUCUUCUGCCCAUUUAAAAAACCAGGUUGUGCCUUUCUGCCUGUGGACACUGCCAGGUAAGCAUUGUUAAAGUCUCCCCUCCCACCUCCAUCAUGUCUCAGUCAGAGUCUCCCACAGACCCUGAACAGCUGCGGAAGCUCUUCAUCGAGGUUUGAGCUCGGCAACAACGUUGAGUCUGAGGAGCCAUUAUGAGCAAUGGGAACACUUAUGGACUGUGUGGUAAUGACAGAUCCAAAGACCAAGCACUCCAGAGGCUUUGGGUUUGUCACGUAUGCCACUGUGGAGACGGUGGAUGCAGCCAUGAAGGCAGGGCCACACAAGGUGGAUGGAAGAGUUGUGGAGCCAAAGAGGGCUCUCUCAAGAGAAGAUUCUCAAAGACCUGGUGCCCACUUCACUCUGAAAAAGAUUUUUGUCAGCAUUAAAGAAGACACUGAAGAACAUCAUCUAAGAAAUUAUUCUGAACAGUAUGGAAAAACUGACGUGACUGACAUCAUGACUGACUGAGGCAGUGGCAAUAAGAGAGGCUUUGCUUUUAUAACAUUUGAUGACCAUGACUCUGUACCCAAGACUGUCAUUCAGAAAUACCACACUGUGGGGACGCCUGGGUGGCU